AUGUCCUCCAUGCCGCGCUCGUACCCCCGCCGCUCCCGUUCCGCCAGCGCGCGCGCGUGCUCGCUCUUCACUCCUCCAUGCCGCGCUCGUACCCCCGCCGCUCCAGCUCCGCCAGAGCGCGCGCGUGCUCCCUGCUCGACCCCCGCGCCGCCAGCUCGGCCUUCGCCUCGCGCAGCUCCACCCGCAGCGCGUCCGGCUCGCGCUCGCGCGCCCUCAGCUUCCCCUCCAGCUCCAGAGCGUGGCCCAGCGAGAAUGACACCUCGCUCGCCGCCUGCGCAUCAUUGCCAUGUCGAUCGAUCCAGAUCAACGAAGCAUGCAGGAACAAUCUCCAUAGAACAGGAGCUAAUCUGA
This 351-nucleotide ribosomal RNA is filed under the name Triticum aestivum (bread wheat). RNAcentral describes it as "partial small subunit ribosomal RNA". Lineage: Eukaryota; Viridiplantae; Streptophyta; Magnoliopsida; Poales; Poaceae. The record is from RNAcentral.